Molecule: ribosomal RNA, 479 nt
Filed under: uncultured bacterium
Lineage: Bacteria
Description: bacterial SSU rRNA
Rfam family: Bacterial small subunit ribosomal RNA
Source: RNAcentral
GCAGCAGGUCCCGCAAGGGAUGCUGGCGACCGGCAAACGGGUGCGGAACACGUACGCAACUUUCCUUCAAGUGGGGAAUAGCCCAGGGAAACUUGGAUUAAUACCCCGUAAUAUUUAGAGGUGGCAUCACCUCUUCAUUAUAGCUACGGCGCUUGAAGAUGGGCGUGCGCCUGAUUAGGUAGUUGGCGGGGUAACGGCCCACCAAGCCUACGAUCAGUAACUGGUGUGAGAGCACGACCAGUCACACGGGCACUGAGACACGGGCCCGACUCCUACGGGAGGCAGCAGUAAGGAAUAUUGGGCAAUGGACGCAAGUCUGACCCAGCCAUGCCGCGUGGAGGAUGAAGGUCCUCUGGAUUGUAAACUUCUUUUAUCUGGGAAGAAACCCAUGAAUUCUUUCGUGGUUGACGGUACCAGAUGAAUAAGCACCGGCUAACUCCGUGCCAGCAGCCGCGGUAAUACGGAGGGUGCAAGCGUUA